RNAcentral lists this ribosomal RNA (916 nucleotides) under Campylobacter ureolyticus. Its description in RNAcentral is "partial 16S-23S ribosomal RNA intergenic spacer". The stretch from base 228 to 301 matches the Rfam family "tRNA". Lineage: Bacteria; Pseudomonadati; Campylobacterota; Epsilonproteobacteria; Campylobacterales; Campylobacteraceae. The record is from RNAcentral.
UUCUAGAGUACAAAUAGAUAUUCUCUCACAAGAUAUCUAUAAGAAAGAUAUAAGUAUUAAUAUUUAUACUUAUAGUGUAAUAGACAACUAACUCAAUCAUCCUUGUUUAGUUUUCAGAGAUUGUUUUAAAAUUAGUAAUAGAGCUAAAGGGGAAUUAGCUCAGCUGGGAGAGCGCCUGCUUUGCACGCAGGAGGUCAGCGGUUCGAUCCCGCUAUUCUCCACCAUAAGGGCCUGUAGCUCAGCUGGUUAGAGUGCACCCCUGAUAAGGGUGAGGUCAUAAGUUCAAGUCUUAUCAGGCCCACCAUUAAAAACAUCAUAGUAAAAUUAUAAUCUAUAGUUUAAUGUAUACUGUUUUAUAAAAAUAUAAGAUAAUCUAAGAUAAAAUACCUACCUUUAUUUUUAUAAUCUGAUAAAGUCUAAUUAGAGAGUUAGUAACUAAUUAAUUUUCUAAUUAGAUUUUAUAAUCUAAAUGUUAUUUAAAUUAUCAUUGUUAAAAGUCACAAAAAGUUUUAAUAAAAUAAAACAAUUUUACAGGACUUGUUAAAGCUUUAUAUCUAUAUAAAUAUAAAAGCAAAUCUUUUAAAUUUAACUGUUAUCAAAUUUAAAAGUUUAAAGAUUAUACACGAAACAAUAAAGUUUUUAAAACUUACUUUAUAGUUUAUAAUCUCUUUCCGUCUUAAUUUAUAUAAUAUAAACAUUAUAAAAUAAAUCAUUAUUUUAUCUUUAACAAGGAAGUGAUGCGAAUUAGAAUAUCAACAUAAUAAAUAAUUCUAAUAAGACUUCAUUAAGCGAUAACAUCUAUCUAUAUAUAAUACGAAGUUGCUUUAGCAACUUUGUGCUUUAGGUGGUUCAAAGGAGUGUUUACACUCCUUGUCGCAAUAAGAGCUUUGCUCUUAUGAGAAGUCAAAAAAAGGUA